Molecule: unclassified non-coding RNA, 201 nt
Filed under: Hevea brasiliensis (rubber tree)
Lineage: Eukaryota; Viridiplantae; Streptophyta; Magnoliopsida; Malpighiales; Euphorbiaceae
Source: RNAcentral
AAAAAAAAAAGCAAAAAGAAAAAAAAAAGUUUGCAAGAAUUUAGUUGAGUAUUCAAAAUGCUUAAAGCUGAAUUUUACAUCUGAAGGACAAACAGUCUGCUUCUAUAUAUUUCAUAUCUACAUGAAGCUUUGUCUAUGUCGCUUGCCAAGCUGAUGAUAUUUGCAAAUGCAUCUUAUAGUUAAAAAGGUCAGAAUCAUCAU